RNAcentral lists this transfer RNA (69 nucleotides) under Triplophysa moquensis. RNAcentral's name for it is "tRNA-Tyr". It matches the Rfam family "tRNA". From Rfam's summary of the family: Transfer RNA (tRNA) molecules are approximately 80 nucleotides in length. Their secondary structure includes four short double-helical elements and three loops (D, anti-codon, and T loops). Lineage: Eukaryota; Metazoa; Chordata; Actinopteri; Cypriniformes; Nemacheilidae. The record is from RNAcentral.
GGUAGGAUGGCUGAAGUUAGGCGGCGGGUUGUAGCCCCGUGCAUAGAGGUUUAAAUCCUCUUCCUAUCA